Phrynosoma platyrhinos (Desert horned lizard) is the source of this 72-nucleotide non-coding RNA. The record is from the annotation of a GenBank genome assembly. NCBI's taxonomy places the organism in Eukaryota, Metazoa, Chordata, Lepidosauria, Squamata, Phrynosomatidae.
GCCAGCAUGGCAUAGUGGUUUGAGUGUUGGAUGGUGAGUCUAGAGACCAGGGUUCAAUUCCCAGCUCAGGCA